GGUCAAGCGAACAAGUGCAUGUGGUGGAUGCCUUGGCGAUCACAGGCGAUGAAGGACGCGGUAGCCUGCGAAAAGCCCCGGGGAGCUGGCAAACAAGCUUUGAUCCGGGGAUGUCCGAAUGGGGAAACCCACUCCGUAUGGAGUAUCCAUGACUGAAUACAUAGGUCAUGUGAAGCGAACGCGGUGAACUGAAACAUCUAAGUAACCGCAGGAAAAGAAAUCAACCGAGAUUCCCAAAGUAGUGGCGAGCGAAAUGGGAUGAGCCUUGUACUCUUUAUUCGUAUUGUUAGCCGAACGCUCUGGAAAGUGCGGCCAUAGCAGGUGAUAGCCCUGUAGGCGAAAACAGUAUGAAAGAACUAGGUGUACGACAAGUAGGGCGGGACACGUGAAAUCCUGUCUGAAGAUGGGGGGACCAUCCUCCAAGGCUAAAUACUCGUGAUCGACCGAUAGUGAACCAGUACCGUGAGGGAAAGGCGAAAAGAACCCCGGGAGGGGAGUGAAAUAGAUCCUGAAACCGCAUGCAUACAAACAGUCGGAGCCUCGUAAGGGGUGACGGCGUACCUUUUGUAUAAUGGGUCAGCGACUUACGUUCAGUAGCAAGCUUAACCGUAUAGGGCAGGCGUAGCGAAAGCGAGUCCGAAUAGGGCGUUCAGUUGCUGGGCGUAGACCCGAAACCAGGUGAUCUAUCCAUGGCCAGGAUGAAGGUGCGGUAACACGUACUGGAGGUCCGAACCCACUAACGUUGAAAAGUUAGGGGAUGAGCUGUGGAUAGGGGUGAAAGGCUAAACAAACCUGGAAAUAGCUGGUUCUCUCCGAAAACUAUUUAGGUAGUGCCUCGUGUCUCACCUUCGGGGGUAGAGCACUGUCAUGGUUGGGGGGUCUAUUGCAGAUUACCCCGCCAUAGCAAACUCCGAAUACCGAAGAGUGCAAUCACGGGAGACAGACAUCGGGUGCUAACGUCCGGUGUCAAGAGGGAAACAACCCAGACCGCCAGCUAAGGUCCCCAAAUAUGGCUAAGUGGGAAACGAAGUGGGAAGGCUAAAACAGUCAGGAGGUUGGCUUAGAAGCAGCCACCCUUUAAAGAAAGCGUAAUAGCUCACUGAUCGAGUCGUCCUGCGCGGAAGAUGUAACGGGGCUAAGCCAUAUACCGAAGCUGCGGAUGCGUGCUUGCACGCAUGGUAGGAGAGCGUUCCGUAAGCCUGCGAAGGUGCCUUGUAAAGGGUGCUGGAGGUAUCGGAAGUGCGAAUGCUGACAUGAGUAGCGAUAAAGGGGGUGAAAGGCCCCCUCGCCGUAAGCCCAAGGUUUCCUACGCAACGUUCAUCGGCGUAGGGUGAGUCGGCCCCUAAGGCGAGGCAGAAAUGCGUAGCUGAUGGGAAGCAGGUCAAUAUUCCUGCACCGUCGUUAGAUGCGAUGGGGGGACGGAUCGCGGAAGGUUGUCCGGGUGUUGGACGUCCCGGUCGCUGCAUUGGAGAAGGCGCUUAGGCAAAUCCGGGCGCGGAAUUCAAGGGUGUGGCGCGAGCGACUUCGGUCGCGAAGCAAUUGGAAGUGGUUCCAAGAAAAGCCUCUAAGCUUCAGUCUAACGAUGACCGUACCGCAAACCGACACAGGUGGGCGAGAUGAGUAUUCUAAGGCGCUUGAGAGAACUCGGGAGAAGGAACUCGGCAAAUUGGUACCGUAACUUCGGGAUAAGGUACGCCCUUGUAGCUUGACCAGCCUGCGCUGGAAGGGUGAAGGGGUUGCAAUAAACUGGUGGCUGCGACUGUUUAAUAAAAACACAGCACUCUGCAAACACGAAAGUGGACGUAUAGGGUGUGACGCCUGCCCGGUGCCGGAAGAUUAAAUGAUGGGGUGCAAGCUCUUGAUUGAAGUCCCGGUAAACGGCGGCCGUAACUAUAACGGUCCUAAGGUAGCGAAAUUCCUUGUCGGGUAAGUUCCGACCUGCACGAAUGGCGUAACGAUGGCCACACUGUCUCCUCCCGAGACUCAGCGAAGUUGAAGUGUUUGUGAUGAUGCAAUCUACCCGCGGCUAGACGGAAAGACCCCAUGAACCUUUACUGUAGCUUUGCAUUGGACUUUGAACCGAUCUGUGUAGGAUAGGUGGGAGGCUAUGAAACCGGAACGCUAGUUUCGGUGGAGCCGUCCUUGAAAUACCACCCUGGUUUGUUUGAGGUUCUAACCUUGGUCCGUGAUCCGGAUCGGGGACAGUGCAUGGUAGGCAGUUUGACUGGGGCGGUCUCCUCCCAAAGGGUAACGGAGGAGUACGAAGGUACGCUAGGUACGGUCGGAAAUCGUGCUGAUAGUGCAAUGGCAUAAGCGUGCUUAACUGCGAGACCGACAAGUCGAGCAGGUGCGAAAGCAGGUCAUAGUGAUCCGGUGGUUCUGUAUGGAAGGGCCAUCGCUCAACGGAUAAAAGGUACUCUGGGGAUAACAGGCUGAUACCGCCCAAGAGUUCAUAUCGACGGCGGUGUUUGGCACCUCGAUGUCGGCUCAUCUCAUCCUGGGGCUGUAGCCGGUCCCAAGGGUAUGGCUGUUCGCCAUUUAAAGAGGUACGUGAGCUGGGUUUAAAACGUCGUGAGACAGUUUGGUCCCUAUCUGCCGUGGGCGUUGGAUAUUUGAAGGGGGCUGCUCCUAGUACGAGAGGACCGGAGUGGACGAACCUCUGGUGUACCGGUUGUGACGCCAGUCGCAUCGCCGGGUAGCUAUGUUCGGAAGAGAUAACCGCUGAAAGCAUCUAAGCGGGAAACUCGCCUUAAGAUGAGAUAUCCCUGGAGGCUUGACCUCCUUGAAGGGUCGUUCGAGACCAGGACGUUGAUAGGUCGGGUGUGUAAGCGCAGUAAUGCGUUCAGCUAACCGAUACUAAUUGCCCGUAAGGCUUGAUCCU
This 2881-nucleotide ribosomal RNA is filed under the name Burkholderia multivorans. RNAcentral describes it as "23S ribosomal RNA". It matches the Rfam family "Bacterial large subunit ribosomal RNA". Lineage: Bacteria; Pseudomonadati; Pseudomonadota; Betaproteobacteria; Burkholderiales; Burkholderiaceae. The record is from RNAcentral.